This 322-nucleotide ribosomal RNA is filed under the name uncultured eukaryote. Its description in RNAcentral is "partial 18S ribosomal RNA". It matches the Rfam family "Eukaryotic small subunit ribosomal RNA", at positions 1470 to 1796 of the family's 1831-position model. The record is from RNAcentral.
CCCUUAGAUGUUCUGGGCCGCACGCGUGCUACACUGAGUGGAUCAGCGGGUCAGGUUGCGCGAAAGUGUUUCCUAAUCUUUAAAUCCGCUCGUGAUGGGGAUUGACGGUUGCAAUUUUCCGUCAUGAACGAGGAAUACCUUGUAAGCGCGGGUCAUCAUCCCGCGCUGAAUACGUCCCUGCCCUUUGUACACACCGCCCGUCGCUCCUACCGAUUGAGUGGUCCGGUGAGGCUUUGGGAUCUGAGCGGAAAGAGCGUUUCGCUGUUUCUGCCCGGAAAACUCAGUCGAACCUUAUCAUUUAGAGGAAAGAGAAGUCGUAACA